CAGACUCCUACGGGAGGCAGCAGUAGGGAAUCUUCCGCAAUGGACGAAAGUCUGACGGAGCAACGCCGCGUGAGUGAUGAAGGUUUUCGGAUCGUAAAGCUCUGUUGUUAGGGAAGAACAAGUGCAAGAGUAACUGCUUGCACCUUGACGGUACCUAACCAGAAAGCCACGGCUAACUACGUGCCAGCAGCCGCGGUAAUACGUAGGUGGCAAGCGUUGUCCGGAAUUAUUGGGCGUAAAGGGCUCGCAGGCGGUUUCUUAAGUCUGAUGUGAAAGCCCCCGGCUCAACCGGGGAGGGUCAUUGGAAACUGGGAAACUUGAGUGCAGAAGAGGAGAGUGGAAUUCCACGUGUAGCGGUGAAAUGCGUAGAGAUGUGGAGGAACACCAGUGGCGAAGGCGACUCUCUGGUCUGUAACUGACGCUGAGGAGCGAAAGCGUGGGGAGCGAACAGGAUUAGAUACCCUGGUAGUCCACGCCGUAAACGAUGAGUGCUAAGUGUUAGGGGGUUUCCGCCCCUUAGUGCUGCAGCUAACGCAUUAAGCACUCCGCCUGGGGAGUACGGUCGCAAGACUGAAACUCAAAGGAAUUGACGGGGGCCCGCACAAGCGGUGGAGCAUGUGGUUAAUUCAAAGC
RNAcentral lists this ribosomal RNA (633 nucleotides) under Bacillus pumilus. Its description in RNAcentral is "bacterial SSU rRNA". It matches the Rfam family "Bacterial small subunit ribosomal RNA", at positions 332 to 957 of the family's 1533-position model. The record is from RNAcentral. Lineage: Bacteria; Bacillati; Bacillota; Bacilli; Caryophanales; Bacillaceae.